AAUGAACGCUGGCGGCAUGGAUUAGGCAUGCAAGUCGAACGGUACCCGCAAGGGUAUAGUGGCGAAAGGGUGAGUAACGCGUGAGUAACCUGUCCUGAGGUUGGGAAUAGCUCGGGGAAACCCGGAUUAAUACCGAAUGUGGUUGGUCGAGUUUCGACAUGAUCAACUAAAGGCCGCAAGGCCGCCUUUGGAGGGACUCGCGUCCCAUCAGCUAGUUGGCGGGGUAAUGGCCCACCAAGGCAACGACGGGUAGGUGGUCUGAGAGGAUGGUCACCCACACUGGGACUGAGACACUGCCCAGACUCCUACGGGAGGCUGCAGUCGAGAAUCUUCCGCAAUGGGCGAAAGCCUGACGGAGCAAUGCCGCGUGCGGGAUGACGGCUUUCGGGUCGUAAACCGCUGUCACUCGGGACGAAAGCAAUGACGGUACCGAGGGAGGAAGCCACGGCUAACUACGUGCCAGCAGCCGCGGUAAGACGUAGGUGGCGAGCGUUAUUCGGAAUUAUUGGGCGUAAAGGGUCCGUAGGAGGUCGCGCAAGUCUGAUGUGAAAUGCCAGAGCUCAACUCUGGACCGUCAUUGGAUACUGCGUGGCUUUGAGGGCAGGAGAGGAGAGUGGAAUACCCGGUGUAGCGGUGGAAUGCGUAGAUAUCGGGUGGAACGCCAAUGGCGAAGGCAGCUCUCUGGACCGUACCUGACUCUGAUGGACGAAAGCUGGGGGAGCAAACAGGAUUAGAUACCCUGGUAGUCCCAGCUGUAAACCUUGUGCACUCGGUGUGGGGGGAUUUGGUCCCCUCCGCGCCUGAGCUAACGUGUUAAGUGCACCGCCUGGGGAGUACGGCCGCAAGGCUAAAACUCAAAGGAAUUGACGGGGGCCCGCACAAGCGGUGGAGCAUGUGGCUUAAUUCGAGGCAACGCGAAGAACCUUACCUGGGUUUGACAUGCAAGUGAAAACGGCAGAAAUGUCGU
Molecule: ribosomal RNA, 967 nt
Filed under: uncultured bacterium
Lineage: Bacteria
Description: bacterial SSU rRNA
Rfam family: Bacterial small subunit ribosomal RNA
Source: RNAcentral